RNAcentral lists this ribosomal RNA (700 nucleotides) under Bacillus sp. D22-4C. RNAcentral describes it as "bacterial SSU rRNA". It matches the Rfam family "Bacterial small subunit ribosomal RNA", at positions 378 to 1067 of the family's 1533-position model. Lineage: Bacteria; Bacillati; Bacillota; Bacilli; Caryophanales; Bacillaceae. The record is from RNAcentral.
GAAGUCUGACGGAGCAACGCCGCGUGAGUGAUGAAGGUUUUCGGAUCGUAAAACUCUGUUGUUAGGGAAGAACAAGUACCGGAGUAACUGCCGGUACCUUGACGGUACCUAACCAGAAAGCCACGGCUAACUACGUGCCAGCAGCCGCGGUAAUACGUAGGUGGCAAGCGUUGUCCGGAAUUAUUGGGCGUAAAGCGCGCGCAGGCGGUUCCUUAAGUCUGAUGUGAAAGCCCCCGGCUCAACCGGGGAGGGUCAUUGGAAACUGGGGAACUUGAGUGCAGAAGAGAAAAGUGGAAUUCCACGUGUAGCGGUGAAAUGCGUAGAGAUGUGGAGGAACACCAGUGGCGAAGGCGACUCUUUGGUCUGUAACUGACGCUGAGGCGCGAAAGCGUGGGGAGCAAACAGGAUUAGAUACCCUGGUAGUCCACGCCGUAAACGAUGAGUGCUAAGUGUUAGAGGGUUUCCGCCCUUUAGUGCUGCAGCAAACGCAUUAAGCACUCCGCCUGGGAAGAACGGCCGCAAGGCUGAAACUCAAAGGAAUUGACGGGGGCCCGCACAAGCGGUGGAGCAUGUGGUUUAAUUCAAAGCAACGCGAAAAACCUUACCAGGUCUUGACAUCUCCUGACAACCCUAAAGAUAGGUCGUUCCCCUUCGAGGGACAAGAUGACAGGUGGUGCAUGGUUGUCGUCAGCUCGUGUCG